This 219-nucleotide long non-coding RNA is filed under the name Nicotiana benthamiana. RNAcentral describes it as "long non-coding RNA (NBEN_LNC000595)". Lineage: Eukaryota; Viridiplantae; Streptophyta; Magnoliopsida; Solanales; Solanaceae. The record is from RNAcentral.
GCUAAGUUCAACAUAUGGCACAUGAACAGCAACUAUAUGAUUGACUUUGGUUAAAAUUGUUACAAUAAAUUGCACUCGAGUGAAGAGAAAGAUUCUACAAGAAAAGAAUGUAGAGAUAAAUUCCUUCCUGAAAUAUGAGAUUUAUUUGAGAGAAUACAGCUUCAUGCUUCUUAAUAUGUAACUUCAUAUUUGUGACAGCCCCAAAAAAUCACAGCAGUA